Molecule: ribosomal RNA, 460 nt
Filed under: uncultured bacterium
Lineage: Bacteria
Description: partial 16S ribosomal RNA
Rfam family: Bacterial small subunit ribosomal RNA
Source: RNAcentral
CCUACGGGUGGCAGCAGUGAGGAAUAUUGGUCAAUGGGCGCGAGCCUGAACCAGCCAAGUAGCGUGAAGGAUGACUGCCCUACGGGUUGUAAACUUCUUUUAUAAGGGAAUAAAGUGAGGCACUUGUGCCUUUUUGUAUGUACUUUAUGAAUAAGGAUCGGCUAACUCCGUGCCAUCAGCCGCGGUACUACGGAGGAUCCGAGCGUUAUCCGGAUUUAUUUGGCUUAACGGGAGCGUAGGUGGGUGGUUAAGUCAGUUGUGAAAGUUUGCGGCUCAACCGUGAAAUUGCAAUUGAUACUGGCAGUCUUGAGUAGAGUAGAGGGGGGCGGAAUUCGUGGUGUAGCGGUGAAAUGCUUAGAGAUCAGGAAGAACUCCGAUUGCGAAGGCAGCUUACUAGACUGCCACUGACAUUGAUGCGCGAAAGUGUGGGUAUCGAACAGGAUUAGAUACCCGAGUAGUC